AGUGUAAGACACCAUCUCAAAAAAAAAAAAAAAUACAGAAAAGAUUAGUAUGGCCCCUGUCCAAGGGAUGACACAGAAAUUUGUGAAGUAUUCCAUAGUUUU
This 102-nucleotide small nuclear RNA is filed under the name Pan troglodytes (chimpanzee). The record is from RNAcentral. Lineage: Eukaryota; Metazoa; Chordata; Mammalia; Primates; Hominidae.